GCUAAGGCUACGCAGAAGAAUUUGAAGAUAGUCUGGUUUCCAUUUUCCUAAUGCAGCCUGGCCCAAGAGCCAGGUCUCCCCUAAGACUAGUCUACUGUGGGAGUCAGGGUCUUUUCCACGUGUGGAGGCUAGUGUUUGAUGCUGGACGGCCUGGAAUAAAGAGGGAAGGGGAGAAGGUAACCAGACUGGGCCUCGGGAUUCGCAGACGAUGGCUGGGGCUUUGACUUCUGCAGGUAGGUGAGCAGUGUGGCCUCGGGCUACUCAAGGAACGCCUCUGCGACAACACUCCUUUUCAGACUGUGGUUGAGCGCACAAGAGUGUGCAAAGAAAAGUUAACGCCUCUCCCAGCUGACCCCAAAAUCUUCUAAUCUGGGCCUGAUUGAAAAAAUUCGGAGAAGAACCACCUCGGCCGAGUUACGUGAAAAGGCUGGGUACGAACUACUCUGGCUCUACUUGGGGCGCCGGCUCAGAGCGAUGGGCAGGACGUCCGCGAGGAAGAAAGAGUGACGACGAUUUUUCAAGGAGUCUGAACCAGCUCACCCAGCAAACCCUCCUCCCAUCGAGCACCCUCCUCCCAUCGAGCACCCAGCAUACAAUCACCGCAGGGCCGAGGCUCCUGCCCUCAGUCUCGAUGGCGGCCGGAGCACGCCCCGGCCACAGCGCACGCGCGGGCCUCGGCGCUCCCUCCUCCAGGCCCUCGGCGCACGGCGCCGCCCACUCACCCAGCUGCACCUCUCCGUGCGUCCCCAACCUCACCCGCUCUGAGGCUGCCCCCGCUAGUCUAGCUGCCGAGCCCGGAAGUGGAUGCGGCCGUUCGGCGGAGAGGACGAGGGGGAGGGGAAAGUGCUUCCGGGGAAACGGGCCGGGGUUGGUGUUUGUAAACUUGCCUCGGUCCCGGUGGGGGCAGCCGCGGCCGUGGGGUUGGCAGGGUGUGCUGGGGCCUGGAGGAGGCGCCGCGCGGCCGGGGAGCCAGCGGGAGGCCGCGCCUGGCAGGUUUCUGAAACAGAUCGUGAGCUUCAUCAAGAGAAUUCAACUGGAAAACCAAGACUGGUAG
Molecule: long non-coding RNA, 1054 nt
Filed under: Pongo abelii (Sumatran orangutan)
Lineage: Eukaryota; Metazoa; Chordata; Mammalia; Primates; Hominidae
Description: lncRNA (ENSPPYG00000035385.1)
Source: RNAcentral